Parasteatoda tepidariorum (common house spider) is the source of this 1308-nucleotide long non-coding RNA. RefSeq lists it as uncharacterized. The record is from RefSeq and is a predicted model, not a curated record. NCBI's taxonomy places the organism in Eukaryota, Metazoa, Arthropoda, Arachnida, Araneae, Theridiidae.
UAAAAAUUAUGAUUUUGCAUUUUUUCUUUUUUUCCUUUGAGGCGCUGACUUUUAUCUCUAAAUAUACGAUUAACCUAACAUAAAUUAUGAAGAGCGAUAAUAAAAAUCAGAAAAAAGCGGAGGAAAAGUGAAAUAAAAAUGCAGUUAAAAGUACGGUAAACAAAAUAACAAACAGGGUUUCUUUAUGCAGGUGAUAUUUUAAGCGGAAAUUCCUUAUCUUCCUUUACGUCAUCUUAAAGGGAAAAUUCCCUGAUUCCUUCUAUUGAAUUACAGAAUUUUAUAUUUAUCAUUACAUACUGAAUGUUUAUGUGUAGAGUAAGAUUCAUCCAUACGUAUCUUAUCUGAUACUGAUUUUUUCAAAAGAAACCUUACAUUAUUUGAGAAAAAAGAAACUACUCAUCUGCCGGAAUUAUGGAUAAAAUUUGCUGCAUCUUUGACUUAGAAUACUUCCGCGGAAGCAAACUGGUGUGUGAGCUGGGAUGGAUUAACAUGAACAACGGCAAGUCCGGAAGCAUUCAAUUCAUACGGAAGAGCAACCAACGGUCCUUACAAUACGGGGAAAAUUGUAAUCACAGUACAAUGGAUAUUGGGGACUUGUCUUUUGAACAGAUAAUGGCAGAACCCUCCAUGUUGGGGCAGUUACUGCGUAACAAGUUAUUUUUUAUUUAUGAAUCUUGCAGAACUCCCACCAAAAAUGUGAUUGCUUACAGGGGAGGAGGUGUUGAAAAAGCUAUUGUGGCACCUCUAACAGCUCCGUAUAUCAAUUUUGAACUUUACAAUUGCCCUAUGAUAGACCAGAUUAGCAGGAUAAGCUACCCAACAUGUGGUUACCACAGGUUUAGACAUCUGUGCUGCCCUCUUGCUGAAGUUCAUGCUUUCAGAACUUGGUUGAUAAAUCGGCUGUAAUUAGGAAUGAAAGCAAAAAGGAAAAGAAGAAAAUCUGGCAGUAAAACCAUUUCAGUAAGUGAAUUUUAACCCCGAUCGUGGGUAUACGGGAAGAACCGGGUCGACUCGUCGCUGCGACAGUUGCUUUUUUUUUACGGAAUCGCCCCCCUCCCUCAGGAGAGGAGGGGCGAUUCUGUAAAAAAAGAACAUUUCAGUAAAUAUUUUUUUUAAAACUAAUGAACAGAAAGAAGCAGUUUCUCACAUAUGCUAUAAUUUUUAAAAUAUCUUGGUAGUUACAGUUAUUUGUUUUUCUAGAAAAAAAUGUCUUUUGUGCCAAUUUUUACUCUUUUCCGUCUUGAUGUAUAUAGUCUUUCAGCCUUGUUCUGUAAUAAGUCAAUAAAAGUUUUAAAUGUUGCGCAUGCA